CUGCAUCCACUGCGUCCAGCUCCACGGACCAGAUUGAAAGAGGUAACAGCGAGGCUAUGCCCUUGCCAGCAAAUAUACAGUGUAGGAAUUCAGUUUUGGAGUUCCUGGAAAAAGAGUCAGGGAGGCCUGAGGCCAAAGAGAGAAGACCAGAUCACAUGACAUUGUAAAUGUCAUCUCUGUCAGGUGCAGAGGCUGCUGCAGCAAGGUGCUCUCUAAUAUGUUCUCCACACCGAGGGUCUUAGUUUUGUAGCAGAGCAUCAUUGUUGUCAUCUUACACAAGUGCUGCCUCAACUGGCUCAACAGUGUCACCAGUGCUGAGACAUAUUUUGUGAAGAAUUGCACAGCACGUAAUCACAGCAGGGGCAAAACUUGGCUUCACCUCCUAAAAGAUGCUCCGCCACCUUGAUUUCAUGAUCCUAAAAGUCCUCUCAAUGAUGCUUCAUGUCUCUGGAUGUUGGUGGUUGAAUCCAGCUUCUGUUGGACUUGUGACUGGCUCCCUGUCUGGAGUUAUUAGAGAGACUGGCUGAGAUAUACCUGGAUACAAAGCCUACAAAGAUGUCUAAAAGCUUGCCUUUAUGGUCUCAAACUGCUUGGAGCUGAAUCGAGUAAAACAGUUUGUGGUUGAGGCAGCACUGAGCAUCUGUACUAUAGGUAACUCAUUUGGCAGCCAUCAGUGCUACCUACGGAUUAAAAGCUGCCAAUCAUGCGAGGUUUGUGGGAAAUGAAUUACGUGGGCUCUUUUGCUCUCAGUCACAUGGUGAUCAGUGUCAUGGACAGUGGAGAGGGGUAUGUCCAUGCAAUAAAAACCAACACUUCAAGCUCAAGGAUCCAGCCAUAAUCUUUAUGGUCAUGAAGGAAUGAGAAAAGAUUUGUCUGCCUUGUAAGCCUUUAUCUGGUCUCAGACUACAGAAACUGGAUGGGACUGGGAUGUGAUGUUUGCUGCAGCAGUACUGGAUUCAACACUGCUGGUGUCAUGAAUAUGUCACAAUGUCUGGUUUGUGUAUCCCUGGGUGUCCACUAGAGGUCUCACUUCCCCAUAUCGUCACCCCACCUCAGGAACUACAUUUCCCACAAGUCUUGUUGGUACUCAUCACUGUUCAUUGUAUUCAGCUGUUCCCACUUACAUUGUUUGCACCUGUCUAUAAAUACCUGGUUUGUUUCUGUCUUUGUUAUGGAGUCCUUGUUUAAUGUCACCCUGCUUUUUCUGGUUCCCUUGUGGAUGGUCGUGUUUCUUGUUUUGGACUGCUUAUCUGGAUUUUGACCUUUGCCUGACUGGAUUAUGAGUUUUGGAUUAUCCCAAUAAAACACUGCUUUUGGAUCUACC
This is a long non-coding RNA of Cyprinus carpio carpio, 1324 nucleotides long. The record is from Ensembl. Lineage: Eukaryota; Metazoa; Chordata; Actinopteri; Cypriniformes; Cyprinidae.